Molecule: long non-coding RNA, 552 nt
Organism: Aquila chrysaetos chrysaetos
Lineage: Eukaryota; Metazoa; Chordata; Aves; Accipitriformes; Accipitridae
Exons: 3
Source: RefSeq, a predicted model, not a curated record
CCACAGGGCUCGCUACGCUGCUCUCACUUCCCCUCGGUGUGGCUGCUGUUCCUCACUUCUCCCUGAGGACAGAAAGAUGAGAAUGAAAAAUGUUGAAGAGCUGCAUCGUUUCUGGGAUGCUGUUAGUUUUGAGUGCUGACUAAGGCGGAGGUACAAUAAAGACUGGACUUCAGCAAAGCGUUCGACAUUGUUUCCUGCAGCCUUGUCCUGGACAAACUGGCAAGCUACAAAUUGGAUGGAUGGUCUGUCAGACGGGUAGGAAAUUGGCUCGCAGGCUGCACUCAUAAGAUAAAUACUGGAUAUCUGAGGUCUAACUCAACUACUGCAAGCCAGGAACAAUCAAAAACAUAUAUUGUGGUGAUUUUCAAGUUUCCUUCCUAAUUUAUGAAGACUGUGUGGGAGAAGACAACAAUCUGUACUCAGGAGAAAUGCAGUGAAUCAGCCUGUUCUUUAUGGUGAAGUGUUCUUUUACGCAGCUGCUGUACCUUGGAGAAAAAACAAAUAAACUCCAGAUUCUACUUUAAUCAAUCUCAUUAAAAAAAAAAAAAGUAA